UGCAGUCGGACGGCAGAGAUUCUUUCGGGAAUUUUGAGAGUGGCGCACGGGUGCGUAACGCGUAUGCAACCUACCUUUUACUGGGGGAUAGCCCGGGGAAACCCGGAUUAAUACCCCAUGGUAUUGUGACAUGGCAUCAUGUUAUGAUUAAAGAUUCAUCGGUAAAAGAUGGGCAUGCGUAGGAUUAGCUAGUUGGCGGGGUAACGGCCCACCAAGGCGAUGAUCCUUAGGGGUUCUGAGAGGAAGGUCCCCCACACUGGCACUGAGAUACGGGCCAGACUCCUACGGGAGGCAGCAGUAGGGAAUAUUGGGCAAUGGUCGGAAGACUGACCCAGCCAUGCCGCGUGCAGGAAGAAGGCGUUACGCGUUGUAAACUGCUUUUAUACGGGAAGAAAAGGCCCCUGCGGGGGAAAUUGCCGGUACCGUAUGAAUAAGCACCGGCUAACUCCGUGCCAGCAGCCGCGGUAAUACGGAGGGUGCGAGCGUUGUCCGGAUUUAUUGGGUUUAAAGGGUGCGCAGGCGGCCUUAUAAGUCAGCGGUGAAAUACUCCGGCUCAACCGGAGGGGUGCCGUUGAUACUGUUUGGCUUGAGUGCGGUCUACGUACAUGGAAUUUAUGGUGUAGCGGUGAAAUGCAUAGAUACCAUAAGGAACACCGAUAGCGAAGGCAUUGUACGGGGC
RNAcentral lists this ribosomal RNA (679 nucleotides) under bacterium SVAL2.34. RNAcentral describes it as "bacterial SSU rRNA". It matches the Rfam family "Bacterial small subunit ribosomal RNA", at positions 56 to 734 of the family's 1533-position model. The record is from RNAcentral.